AGAAUUUUUUUAUUUUGGUUAUUUAAGGUUGAAGAUUUGGAGGAUUUUUUACAUUUUUCUUAGAUAUUUCCUUCUAUUUCUUUUUUAAGGUUUGAAGAAGACAUAAAAGGAAAUACCAACAUUUGAAAGAUUUUAACAUACACACUAUCUUGUCAUGAAUUAAUAAACAUGACUUUUUAUUUUGUCAAAGACUAGGGGAAAAAAUUACCUAAAAAAAAAAAUUCUUUAUACAAUUUUCAAAUUAUAUAAACUUUAGCUAAUCAAAACAAGAUUACAGGGUCCUUUGGAUAUCCCUGAGAAUCUUGUUUCCGGAUCUCAUGCUUUUUCGAUAGAAACAUCAGGUGAACAUUCUGAUAGCAAUUUCCCUUGUCAUAUGGCAUUGUGCAAGACGAUGGUGGAAUAUGAAAAUAAAUCAGAAAUAAAUAGGAGUACAAUACUAAAACGCAAAAAAGAAAAAACAUGACUGAUAAUUUUGUACAUUUUAACUAUACCUAUUUUAUCAAUUGUUUUAAACUAUAUCUCCA
This is a non-coding RNA of Cinara cedri, 524 nucleotides long. The record is from the annotation of a GenBank genome assembly. NCBI's taxonomy places the organism in Eukaryota, Metazoa, Arthropoda, Insecta, Hemiptera, Aphididae.